RNAcentral lists this ribosomal RNA (400 nucleotides) under uncultured bacterium. RNAcentral describes it as "bacterial SSU rRNA". It matches the Rfam family "Bacterial small subunit ribosomal RNA", at positions 29 to 458 of the family's 1533-position model. The record is from RNAcentral.
AACGAACGCUGGCGGCAGGCUUAACACAUGCAAGUCGAACGCCCCGCAAGGGGAGUGGCAGACGGGUGAGUAACGCGUGGGAAUCUACCCAUCUCUACGGGAUAGCUCCGGGAAACUGGAAUUAAUACCGUAUACGUCCUGAGGGAGAAAGAUUUAUCGGGGAUGGAUGAGCCCGCGUUGGAUUAGCUAGUUGGUGGGGUAAAGGCCUACCAAGGCGACGAUCCAUAGCUGGUCUGAGAGGAUGACCAGCCACAUUGGGACUGAGACACGGCCCAAACUCCUACGGGAGGCAGCAGUGGGGAAUAUUGGACAAUGGGCGCAAGCCUGAUCCAGCCAUGCCGCGUGAGUGAUGAAGGUCUUAGGAUUGUAAAGCUCUUUCAGUGGGGACGAUAAUGACGGU